Molecule: long non-coding RNA, 520 nt
Filed under: Anser brachyrhynchus (Pink-footed goose)
Lineage: Eukaryota; Metazoa; Chordata; Aves; Anseriformes; Anatidae
Description: lncRNA (ENSABRG00000000724.1)
Source: RNAcentral
AAAAAACCCACGCACGUUUGACACUUCAAAUGUAAAUAGUUUGUAGCCUGAAUGCUUAAAGACUGGUGUGUGCAUGCAUAAUGUGAUUUGUUUUUCAAGUGCACUGUUAGUUUGUGAUCUGUCAAUUCAGUGCGUGCAGAUUGUGUAUAGCAGACAAGUAAAAUGUGGUCCUGUCAGCCCAAGACUUCAAAAACAGUCUGAGAUACAGGUUCUUAGGAAGACAAAGGUAGUGAAAGGGUCCAAGACUGGUUAUAAGCAAGCAAGUGAGCUAGGAGAACAUAUCCUCUUACUUCUCCUCAGCCAGGCCUCCUCGCAGAGCUGCAUGAAGAGUGUGACACGAAGUUGCUUGGGGAAAAGGGACGGUGCAGAGGAAGACAGCUCAGACCAUCAUCGUGCCAAAUCCCAAGAGGAAAUCAUGGCUGGAAUACAAUUACUGCCAGUGAUCCACAUCUUUGCCUCUGCAGACCUGGCAUGUGCAGGAAAUGCAGCGCAUAUGGCAAAUGGAAUCACCUGGAGCUAG